UACACACCGCCCGUCACACCAUGGGAGUGGGGUUCACCAGAAGCAGGUUGCCUAACCGCAAGGGGGGGCGCCCUACCACGGGUGAGCUUCAUGACUGGGGGUGAAGUCGUAACAAGGUACCC
This 122-nucleotide ribosomal RNA is filed under the name uncultured bacterium. RNAcentral describes it as "partial 16S ribosomal RNA". It matches the Rfam family "Bacterial small subunit ribosomal RNA", at positions 1384 to 1501 of the family's 1533-position model. The record is from RNAcentral.